UUAAGCGACUAAGCGUACACGGUGGAUGCCCUGGCAGUCAGAGGCGAUGAAGGGCGUGCUAAUCUGCGAUAAGCGCCGGUAAGGUGAUAUGAACCGUUAUAACCGGCGAUUUCCGAAUGGGGAAACCCAGUGUGACUCGUCACACUAUCAUUAACUGAAUCCAUAGGUUAAUGAGGCGAACCGGGGGAACUGAAACAUCUAAGUACCCCGAGGAAAAGAAAUCAACCGAGAUUCCCCCAGUAGCGGCGAGCGAACGGGGAGGAGCCCAGAGCCUGAAUCAGCAUGUGUGUUAGUGGAAGCGUCUGGAAAGGCGCGCGAUACAGGGUGACAGCCCCGUACACAAAAGCGCAUGUGCUGUGAGCUCGAUGAGUAGGGCGGGACACGUGGUAUCCUGUCUGAAUAUGGGGGGACCAUCCUCCAAGGCUAAAUACUCCUGACUGACCGAUAGUGAACCAGUACCGUGAGGGAAAGGCGAAAAGAACCCCGGCGAGGGGAGUGAAAAAGAACCUGAAACCGUGUACGUACAAGCAGUGGGAGCCCCACCACUAAGCCAGUGGUGAACUCCACAUACGCAUCCUUUGCUGAGGAUACGGUUAACGGAGCGAAAGCGACGUUCAACCGCAAAAGAAGCAGAGGGGGCUUAGUGGUGGGGUGACUGCGUACCUUUUGUAUAAUGGGUCAGCGACUUAUAUUCUGUAGCAAGGUUAACCGAAUAGGGGAGCCGGAGGGAAACCGAGUCUUAACCGGGCGUUAAGUUGCAGGGUAUAGACCCGAAACCCGGUGAUCUAGCCAUGGGCAGGUUGAAGGUUGGGUAACACUAACUGGAGGACCGAACCGACUAAUGUUGAAAAAUUAGCGGAUGACCUGUGGCUGGGGGUGAAAGGCCAAUCAAACCGGGAGAUAGCUGGUUCUCCCCGAAAGCUAUUUAGGUAGCGCCUCGUGAAUUCAUCUCCGGGGGUAGAGCACUGUUUCGGCUAGGGGGCCAUCCCGGCUUACCAACCCGAUGCAAACUGCGAAUACCGGAGAAUGUUAUCACGGGAGACACACGGCGGGUGCUAACGUCCGUCGUGAAGAGGGAAACAACCCAGACCGCCAGCUAAGGUCCCAAAGUCAUGGUUAAGUGGGAAACGAUGUGGGAAGGCCCAGACAGCCAGGAUGUUGGCUUAGAAGCAGCCAUCAUUUAAAGAAAGCGUAAUAGCUCACUGGUCGAGUCGGCCUGCGCGGAAGAUGUAACGGGGCUAAACCAUGCACCGAAGCUGCGGCAGCGACACUCAGGUGUUGUUGGGUAGGGGAGCGUUCUGUAAGCCUGUGAAGGUGUGCUGUGAGGCAUGCUGGAGGUAUCAGAAGUGCGAAUGCUGACAUAAGUAACGAUAAAGCGGGUGAAAAGCCCGCUCGCCGGAAGACCAAGGGUUCCUGUCCAACGUUAAUCGGGGCAGGGUGAGUCGACCCCUAAGGCGAGGCCGAAAGGCGUAGUCGAUGGGAAACGGGUUAAUAUUCCCGUACUUGGUGUUACUGCGAAGGGGGGACGGAGAAGGCUAUGUUGGCCGGGCGACGGUUGUCCCGGUUUAAGCGUGUAGGUGUGUGUUCCAGGUAAAUCCGGUUCACUUUAACACUGAGGCGUGAUGACGAGGCACUACGGUGCUGAAGCAACAAAUGCCCUGCUUCCAGGAAAAGCCUCUAAGCAUCAGGUAACAUCAAAUCGUACCCCAAACCGACACAGGUGGUCAGGUAGAGAAUACCAAGGCGCUUGAGAGAACUCGGGUGAAGGAACUAGGCAAAAUGGUGCCGUAACUUCGGGAGAAGGCACGCUGACAUGUAGGUGAAGUGAUUUACUCAUGGAGCUGAAGUCAGUCGAAGAUACCAGCUGGCUGCAACUGUUUAUUAAAAACACAGCACUGUGCAAACACGAAAGUGGACGUAUACGGUGUGACGCCUGCCCGGUGCCGGAAGGUUAAUUGAUGGGGUCAGCGCAAGCGAAGCUCCUGAUCGAAGCCCCGGUAAACGGCGGCCGUAACUAUAACGGUCCUAAGGUAGCGAAAUUCCUUGUCGGGUAAGUUCCGACCUGCACGAAUGGCGUAAUGAUGGCCAGGCUGUCUCCACCCGAGACUCAGUGAAAUUGAACUCGCUGUGAAGAUGCAGUGUACCCGCGGCAAGACGGAAAGACCCCGUGAACCUUUACUAUAGCUUGACACUGAACAUUGAGCCUUGAUGUGUAGGAUAGGUGGGAGGCUUUGAAGUGUGGACGCCAGUCUGCAUGGAGCCGGCCUUGAAAUACCACCCUUUAAUGUUUGAUGUUCUAACGUGGACCCGUGAUCCGGGUUGCGGACAGUGUCUGGUGGGUAGUUUGACUGGGGCGGUCUCCUCCUAAAGAGUAACGGAGGAGCACGAAGGUUGGCUAAUCCUGGUCGGACAUCAGGAGGUUAGUGCAAUGGCAUAAGCCAGCUUGACUGCGAGCGUGACGGCGCGAGCAGGUGCGAAAGCAGGUCAUAGUGAUCCGGUGGUUCUGAAUGGAAGGGCCAUCGCUCAACGGAUAAAAGGUACUCCGGGGAUAACAGGCUGAUACCGCCCAAGAGUUCAUAUCGACGGCGGUGUUUGGCACCUCGAUGUCGGCUCAUCACAUCCUGGGGCUGAAGUAGGUCCCAAGGGUAUGGCUGUUCGCCAUUUAAAGUGGUACGCGAGCUGGGUUUAGAACGUCGUGAGACAGUUCGGUCCCUAUCUGCCGUGGGCGCUGGAGAACUGAGGGGGGCUGCUCCUAGUACGAGAGGACCGGAGUGGACGCAUCACUGGUGUUCGGGUUGUCAUGCCAAUGGCACUGCCCGGUAGCUAAAUGCGGAAGAGAUAAGUGCUGAAAGCAUCUAAGCACGAAACUUGCCCCGAGAUGAGUUCUCCCUGAGACUUUAGGUCUCCUGAAGGAACGUUGAAGACGACGACGUUGAUAGGCCGGGUGUGUAAGCGCAGCGAUGCGUUGAGCUAACCGGUACUAAUGAACCGUGAGGCUUAACCUU
RNAcentral lists this ribosomal RNA (3005 nucleotides) under Salmonella enterica subsp. enterica serovar Muenster. RNAcentral's name for it is "bacterial LSU rRNA". It matches the Rfam family "Bacterial large subunit ribosomal RNA". Lineage: Bacteria; Pseudomonadati; Pseudomonadota; Gammaproteobacteria; Enterobacterales; Enterobacteriaceae. The record is from RNAcentral.